RNAcentral lists this long non-coding RNA (302 nucleotides) under Lupinus angustifolius (narrow-leaved blue lupine). Its description in RNAcentral is "long non-coding RNA (LANG_LNC003682)". Lineage: Eukaryota; Viridiplantae; Streptophyta; Magnoliopsida; Fabales; Fabaceae. The record is from RNAcentral.
UGCUCUCAAAAGCCAAUAACCACUUCUCUCAUUCUUAUUGCAAUGGCAAAUCAAGCUUCUUCUUCUUCAUCACGUAAAACCAAAACCCCUCACAAUGAUGAUCCAGUGGCCGAGUCUCCUCAUGAAAUUGUCCUUGCGGCUCAGAAGCUUAUGCAACUCAGCGACCAUAAUCGCAAGGAUAACAAAGAGAUUGAUCAAAUGCAAAGCGAUAUGAAGAUCGAUGAGAAUUCAGAGAUUAUUGAUCGGCCAAAGAAGAUGAAGAAAUAUAGGUCAAUUGUGAGUAUAUAUAAGGUCACAAAACC